This 712-nucleotide long non-coding RNA is filed under the name Cyanistes caeruleus (blue tit). RNAcentral's name for it is "lncRNA (ENSCCEG00000016474.1)". Lineage: Eukaryota; Metazoa; Chordata; Aves; Passeriformes; Paridae. The record is from RNAcentral.
CUUAUCUCUCUAAACUAGAAGUGGAAUGGGAAGCAAGCAGAGGCCUUCCUCUUCCUUCUACUUAUCAUCUCAUUGUCCCUCUAAAUUUGUCUCUGUCCCUGGACCUUAACCUCCCACUCCAAGGGCAGGACAGGGCAGGCUGAUAAGCCCUCUCUGAAACCACUGGUAUUGAAGCAAUUAUUCAGCAGCUGCAGCCCUCUGCAGCUGAGCAGAGAUUGCCAUCUCUGUUCAUGGCAACACUGUCCUCGUGCCUCCCUAAUACAUCCUGGCCUCCAGACCUUAUUUAUGGCACCUUCUGGCUGAGCUCCAAAGGGACACAGCUUGGGGAUCUUUACUGUCAUUUCUUUGGACUCUGUCCUUAAAACCAAGUUUAUCAACAAAUGCUGCCCUUGACUGUAGCCUGAUCUGAGCCCUCAGGCUUUCACCCAACCUCCAAGGACAGAAUUUGGUCACCAUUGUUCCUUCUAGACACUUGAGAAUAAGGAAGAGUGCAGAAAGGCUGUGCUGGGCCUUAAAUUCACCUUCAGGAACAACUCUUGGCCCAAGCUGCCUUAUCACAAAGAAUGAUAGCAGCACAUCACUGCAGGAGAGCUUGGAGUUGCUACUGCAGUCCCAGGGAUGUGCUGGAGUUGUGGAGACCUCCCUGGGCAGAGAGGAAGCCUUGCCAGCACCUGGCUGUCCUAAGCAUCCAUUUAUAGAUCUGAAAUCCUAG